Long non-coding RNA from Sinocyclocheilus anshuiensis, 207 nucleotides. RefSeq lists it as uncharacterized. Lineage: Eukaryota; Metazoa; Chordata; Actinopteri; Cypriniformes; Cyprinidae. The record is from RefSeq and is a predicted model, not a curated record. The transcript is spliced from 2 exons.
ACUCUUGGCUCAGGGGGCCUGGGCCUGCUUGUCAGGGGAAAUUCUGUGUCGUGUUUUCCCUGUUUGUUCACCUUGUGGUCUGCAAGCAUACUUCAGUUCAUUUGUGACAUUGAAUUCACCUUGGCUUUGCGUUGUUUCGGUUCGCCUGAAUUAAUCUUUUUCCUUCUGCAGCUGCAGAGGUUUUCAGGAAGCUGACUUGUGAAGUGU